Molecule: unclassified non-coding RNA, 226 nt
Filed under: Hevea brasiliensis (rubber tree)
Lineage: Eukaryota; Viridiplantae; Streptophyta; Magnoliopsida; Malpighiales; Euphorbiaceae
Source: RNAcentral
GUUUCUGGUACAAGUCCAAGCAUGAUUUGAAUGGAAAAGAUGGUUUGUUGUCUUUGAUUCGGAAGUUCCCUGAGGGCCUUGCUGUUGUUGAUGUCAGAGAUUCAUAUCCAACUGUUCUGGAUGACCUUCAGGCAUUGAAAACUGCUGGUCAAGUUUGGCUUCUGUCGAACAUGGACUCACAGGAGGACAUUGUAUACCCAAAUGAUCCAAAGAUAACCAUAAAGGU